RNAcentral lists this ribosomal RNA (504 nucleotides) under uncultured bacterium. RNAcentral describes it as "partial 16S ribosomal RNA". It matches the Rfam family "Bacterial small subunit ribosomal RNA", at positions 30 to 523 of the family's 1533-position model. The record is from RNAcentral.
AUUGAACGCUGGCGGCAGGCCUAACACAUGCAAGUCGGACGGUAGCACAGAGAGCUUGCUCUCGGGUGACGAGUGGCGGACGGGUGAGUAAUGUCUGGGGAUCUGCCCGAUAGAGGGGGAUAACCACUGGAAACGGUGGCUACUAACGCAUAACGUCGCAAGACCAAAAAGGGGGACCUUCGGUCCUCUCACUAUCGAAUGAACCCAGAUGGGCUUAGCUUGUAGGCGGGGUAACGGCCCACCUAGGCGACGAUCCCUAGCUGGUCUGAGAGGAUGACCAGCCACACUGGAACGGAGACACGGUCCAGACUCCUACGGGAGGCAGCAGUGGGGAAUAUUGCACAAUGGGCGCAAGCCUGAUGCAGCCAUGCCGCGUGUAUGAAGAAGGCCUUCGGGUUGUAAAGUACUUUCAGCGGGGAGGAAGGCGAUAAGGUUAAUAACCUUGUCGAUUGACGUUACCCGCAGAAGAAGCACCGGCUAACUCCGUGCCAGCCGCCGCAGUAA